GUUUUCUUGUUCAUGUUUACUGUGACAGUGAGCUCUUACAGCACAGUGUCUGCUGUAGGGCAGCUUUUCCACAAUCUUCACACAUCUGAUACUUCAGCUGUUAUUACACAGAAGAGGAGAUUUAAUGGUGUGACUACAGUGCAAGCAACUGUUUACUUCUUUUAAUCAGCUUGUUACUUUUCACUAGUUAUUAAAUAAAACACUAUAAUAAAAUUGUCACUUAUCUUUGAAGUGAUGCUUCACCAAAUACACUUUGUUCCUUAAAACUAUUUUAAAAGAGGGAAGGUGAAAUAUCCUUGUGUACCAAGAAAUUACAAGACCAAUUGUAAUACUAGGAUUUGCUUUUUCCAUUUUUGUACAAUCUUGUAUUCUAUAGUUGACUGAUGGGUGAAUGUCCAGAACAUCUCUGAAGCCCAGGAGGGAGGGAACUUGUAGAUCAGAUUAAUGUGAAGAAGGAGGAGAUAUAAACUAGUGGGACUCAGAACUGGUGAAUAGUCAAAGCUCAGAGACUCCUUUCUUUUAACACUGAAGGCUGCAAAAAUGAAGAUGAAGAUUCCGUUCAUGUCUCUGGUUCUUGCCUUGAUGCUGAUGAGUGGUUCUGCUUUGGGAUGUUACUACUGUAACUCGAACACUACUGGCAAAUGUAAUCCAAAGAAUGAUAUACUGUAUGCACAGAUACAGAGGAAAUCUGUGCCAGUGGUCAAUUCUCUAACUUACCCAGUAUGUCUCUUAUUGCUUUCAUUCAUGAUCAUUGCUUCUGAGACAGUAAACAUAACAUAGACCACUAAAACAUGUUAAUUGGUUGUCAAUAAACAUUUGCACUUAUUGCCAA
Tachysurus fulvidraco (yellow catfish) is the source of this 832-nucleotide long non-coding RNA. RefSeq lists it as uncharacterized. The transcript has 3 exons. The record is from RefSeq and is a predicted model, not a curated record. NCBI's taxonomy places the organism in Eukaryota, Metazoa, Chordata, Actinopteri, Siluriformes, Bagridae.